This 75-nucleotide antisense RNA is filed under the name Streptomyces sp. MBRL 601. RNAcentral's name for it is "ASpks sRNA". It matches the Rfam family "ASpks TB sRNA". The record is from RNAcentral. Lineage: Bacteria; Bacillati; Actinomycetota; Actinomycetes; Kitasatosporales; Streptomycetaceae.
CUUGAUGCCGCCGAGCCGCAGCGGGCGGUCCUCCGAACGGUUCUGGCCGUACGUGGCGAGGAGCGCCUGGGCCUC